UCCUACGGGAGGCAGCAGUAGGGAAUAUUGGACAAUGGGUGCGAGCCUGAUCCAGCCAUGCCGCGUGCAGGAAGACGGCCUUCUGGGUUGUAAACUUUUGCCAGGGGAUAAAAAGUCCCUGCGGGGAAAAUUGAAGGUACCUGGUGAAUAAGCCACGGCUAACUACGUGCCAGCAGCCGCGGUAAUACGUAGGUGGCAAGCGUUGUCCGGAUUUAUUGGGUUUAAAGGGUGCGUAGGUUGUGUUGUAAGUCAGUGGUGAAAUCCGGCAGCUUAACUGUCGAUGUGCCAUUGAUACUGCAGCACUUGAGUACAGACGAGGUAGGCGGAAUUGACGGUGUAGCGGUGAAAUGCUUAGAUAUCGUCAAGAACACCGAUAGCGAAGGCAGCUUACUAGACUGUAACUGACACUGAUGCACGAAAGUGUGGGGAUCAAACAGGAUUAGAUACCCUGGUAGUCCACACUGUAAACGAUGAUUACUCGAUGUUGGCGAUACACAGCCAGCGUCUUAGCGAAAGCGAUAAGUAAUCCACCUGGGGAGUACGCCCGCAAGGUGAAACUCAAAGGAAUUGACGG
This 574-nucleotide ribosomal RNA is filed under the name uncultured sludge bacterium. Its description in RNAcentral is "bacterial SSU rRNA". It matches the Rfam family "Bacterial small subunit ribosomal RNA", at positions 337 to 916 of the family's 1533-position model. The record is from RNAcentral.